ACCAGACUCCUACGGGAGGCAGCAGUGAGGAAUAUUGGUCAAUGGGCGCGAGCCUGAACCAGCCAAGUCGCGUGAAGGAUGACUGCCCUACGGGUUGUAAACUUCUUUUAUAAAGGAAUAAAGUGAGGCACGUGUGCCUUUUUGUAUGUAUUUUAUGAAUAAGGAUCGGCUAACUCCGUGCCAGCAGCCGCGGUAAUACGGAGGAUCCGAGCGUUAUCCGGAUUUAUUGGGUUUAAAGGGUGCGUAGGCGGGAUGCCAAGCCGGCGGUAAAAUGCGGGGGCUCAACCUGCGUCCGCCGUUGAAACUGGCGUUCUUGAGUGGGCGAGAAGUACGCGGAAUGCGUGGUGUAGCGGUGAAAUGCAUAGAUAUCACGCAGAACCCCGAUUGCGAAGGCAGCGUACCGGCGCCCGACUGACGCUGAAGCACGAAAGCGUGGGUAUCGAACAGGAUUAGAUACCCCAGUAUG
Molecule: ribosomal RNA, 466 nt
Filed under: uncultured bacterium
Lineage: Bacteria
Description: bacterial SSU rRNA
Rfam family: Bacterial small subunit ribosomal RNA
Source: RNAcentral